AAGUAAGCAUUUCAUGGUAAGGUCUACACUGUUGGUUAAGGGCUUGUAAGUAAGCAUUUCAUGGUAAGGUCUACACUGUUGGUUAAGGGCUUGUAAGUAAGCAUUUCAUGGUAAGGUCUACACUGUUGGUUAAGGGCUUGUAAGUAAGCAUUUCAUGGUAAGGUCUACACUGUUGGUUAAGGGCUUGUAAGUAAGCAUUUCAUGGUAAGGUCUACACUGUUGGUUAAGGGCUUGUAAGUAAGCAUUUCACAGUAAGGUCUACACUGUUGGUUAAGGGCUUGUAAG
This is a long non-coding RNA of Oncorhynchus keta (chum salmon), 285 nucleotides long. RefSeq lists it as uncharacterized. The record is from RefSeq and is a predicted model, not a curated record. The transcript is spliced from 3 exons. NCBI's taxonomy places the organism in Eukaryota, Metazoa, Chordata, Actinopteri, Salmoniformes, Salmonidae.